AAAGUCGUAACAAGGUUUCCGUAGGUGAACCUGCGGAAGGAUCAUUAGUGAACAGGCGGCUCGAUUCGAGCCUGCCGAACCCUCACUUCUUACCACCUGUGAAACCGGUCCCUUUUUUGAUCAACCUAGUGAUGUAUGCAAAGUAUUACAACACGUAACAACUUUCAGCAACGGAUCUCUUGGCUCUC
This 188-nucleotide unclassified non-coding RNA is filed under the name Basidiomycota sp. RNAcentral describes it as "partial contains small subunit ribosomal RNA, internal transcribed spacer 1, and 5.8S ribosomal RNA". The stretch from base 1 to 47 matches the Rfam family "Eukaryotic small subunit ribosomal RNA", at positions 1785 to 1831 of the family's 1831-position model. Lineage: Eukaryota; Fungi; Basidiomycota. The record is from RNAcentral.